CCCUUAGAUGUUCUGGGCCGCACGCGCGCUACACUGAUGCAUUCAACGAGUCUAAAACCUGCUCUGAUAGGGGUGGGUAAUCUUUUGAAUGUGCAUCGUGAUUGGGAUAGAUGAUUGCAAUUUUUCAUCUUCAACGAGGAAUGCCUAGUAAACGAAAGUCAUCAGCUUGCAUUGAUUACGUCCCUGCCCUUUGUACACACCGCCCGUCGCUCCUACCGAUUGAAUGAUCCGAUGAAUAUCAUGGAUUGAGGAUUAUAGCAGGUUCGCCUGUCUUGAUCUUCGAGAAGUGAAGUAAAUCUUAUCAUUUAGAGGAAGGAGAAGUCGUAACA
Molecule: ribosomal RNA, 329 nt
Filed under: uncultured eukaryote
Lineage: Eukaryota
Description: partial 18S ribosomal RNA
Rfam family: Eukaryotic small subunit ribosomal RNA
Source: RNAcentral